UAACCAACAUAUCACCUCGGAAGGAGGGAGGAGGCGCACGCAUACGCCCUCCCUACAAGGCAAAGGACCCCAUCAGGCCCCCGCCCCCUGCACCCCCACCCUGCUGGCAGGGCGGACUCGAUCUCUCUCUCGCUAUUUGCUUGGUUUUCCUCCCGUCCUGCAGUGUGCAGAUGCCCUUGCCGUCGUCACUGCUGAGAUUGUCGCCCAUUCGCCGCGCCGCCGUCGCCGUGAUGACGCGGGCGUUGCGGGCCACCUCCACCAGCAUGUCCUCCAGGACACGCGUCACGAUGGCCAGCGCCGCGGGUGACAACGGCACGAACGUCCUGCGGCCUCCAUACCCGACUGAGGGCGGCAGUGUUCCCGUAUACUCGAUGAUGCACGGGCAGAUCGACAAGCGCAACUGGGUGUUUCGCAACCCGCAGUGGUGCGAGCUGUGCAACGAGCCGGUUUCCCGUUGGUUAGAUCAUCAGGGUCGCAAGGACCACGCAUUGUUGGAUCUGCACUACUCGCAGCUGGCCGAGUGGCCGCGUCGAUGGAACCCCGAGGCGGUGCUGUCGACGUUCAUGGAGCACCUCGGAAUCGACAGCGUGGAGCCGUACCACGCUCUCUUCUCCAAGCUGGACAGCGAGGGCCGCACAGAGCUGUAUGCGAUGCUCGUCAAACUGGAAGAGGCUGGUAUGGUGCACUUCGGCAGCAGCCGCGACACCUACCUCAGCCGCAUGGUCGGUGGGAUGCGCGGGUUCGACCAUCAAGGCGCGCUGGUGCUGCACGAGUGCCUGAUGGGCCCCUUUCUGCGACUCUUUCCAAACGGCCUCAUACAAGAUUACUCGAACCUCCUCGACUUUAUUUCCUGCGGCUACAAUAUGGAGACGGUGUACGACAUGUGCGGUAUGUACACGCUGGACAAGGUGGCACUGCGGGAGCGUUACGGACCGAGCUCGCCCGCCGCGAUGGGGCUGGGCGGCGUCGCGACAUGCUCCUCCGCGUCGCGCGGCUACGAAAACGACCUGCUUGCGUCCUUGUCGACGACCUCAUCGUCGUCGUCGUCGUCCGCCGCCUCCGACAGCGCGGCCGACGCUGCGAGCGCCCCAGGUGGCGGCAGCGGUGCCAAGACCCGGCUCGCGCAGCUGCAAGCCGCACGGGCCGCGAAGUUGCAGGAGAAGUCAGAGGAGGAAGCCUUCUCGCGCAAGACGGCAUUCGUGCGUCAGCUCCUCGGGCAGCUGCGGUGGCUGCUGAUGCCAGAGCAGGAGCACCCGGCCGGUUUCACGUUCCCGCCGCACAUCAUCACCCUGGGCGAGCUGUGCCUGAAGGGGCUGGUGGUCGCCAUUAUUGAGGCGCGCCUCUGCGAGUACAUGGUACGCGCCGAGCCUGUCUGGGUUUCCUUCGGCCUCGAGCGGCGGAAGCUCAAGCAGAGCGCGAUCGCGAAUGCCGGCGACGUGGUGCCGCAGCCGGUGCAGUACUCGUACCGCCCCAUGGCCCGCGACCUGCGCGACCUGUAUUCCACCCAACCAAGCGCGCUGGAUGCAAUGGUGCAGGCGGGCCUACUGAAGAAGAAGCUACCAACGCUGAAGGCGUUUGGGAAGCACGAGGCAUCAUCGGCGCAUGCGAAACCAGUGAAAGGAGGGGCGCCAGCGGUGGACAGCUCACGUGAAAGCCCCUCAUCAGCAUCUGCACACCCUGCUGCGAGCAGGCCACUGCAACCGAUCAUUAUUGGCAAGCCACCCCAGCGAAAGGAAGCGCAAGACCAAGAGAUGGUGCGUCGAGGCGGUGAGAGGCGCGGCGCGGCAGAGGCAGGUGGAGGGUAGGGGCGGUGUCACAGCACCGCGAAUACAAUGUCGUCUCCCUCCUCGCGCCCCCCCCCUUCUCCCCCUCUCUCUGCUUACACCGCCUCUCCGAACGAAUGCGUAGCUCGUGUUUCACCGCCGCAUCGUCGACGCUCCGCCUCCCGCUACUCGCCUCCCCUUCUCGCACUGACGGGCGAUGGGCAAUGGUGCUGUUUUGUCCUCUGUCAACUCCCCACGCCGUCCUCCGACACGCACCCGCCGCCCUCCCCCAUUCUCUGGCCCUUGACGUGUCUUCAUGCGCCAGCCAACGACGUGGUCACGGUGCCGGCGUGCAGAGAGGAGGUGGGUGCAUGCAGGUGUGCACGACUAAGCCGCACGCAUCGACGAGCAUGGCAAAGAGAUGGAAGACGUGGGCCGCCGUGAGGGCGUCUGCCGUUCUCCUCCGACGCACGCCCGCCUGCCCUCUUUGCCCAUCUGCGUCUCGCUCCUCCGCCCGUGGCGUGCGCUCCGCGGCCUUCUCCCGUGUGACG
This 2314-nucleotide unclassified non-coding RNA is filed under the name Leishmania donovani. RNAcentral's name for it is "gene:LdHU3.15.1600(CDS-product:hypothetical_prote in_conserved)". The record is from RNAcentral. Lineage: Eukaryota; Euglenozoa; Kinetoplastea; Trypanosomatida; Trypanosomatidae.